Molecule: ribosomal RNA, 492 nt
Filed under: uncultured bacterium
Lineage: Bacteria
Description: partial 16S ribosomal RNA
Rfam family: Bacterial small subunit ribosomal RNA
Source: RNAcentral
AGUGAACGCUGGCGGUAGGCCUAACACAUGCAAGUCGAACGGCAGCACAGUAAGAGCUUGCUCUUACGGGUGGCGAGUGGCGGACGGGUGAGGAAUACAUCGGAAUCUACUUUUUCGUGGGGGAUAACGUAGGGAAACUUACGCUAAUACCGCGUACGACCUACGGGUGAAAGCAGGGGAUCUUCGGACCUUGCGCGAUUGAAUGAGCCGACGUCGGAUUAGCUAGUUGGCGGGGUAAAGGCCCACCAAGGCGACGAUCCGUAGCUGGUCUGAGAGGAUGAUCAGCCACACUGGAACUGAGACACGGUCCAGACUCCUACGGGAGGCAGCAGUGGGGAAUAUUGGACAAUGGGCGCAAGCCUGAUCCAGCCAUACCGCGUGGGUGAAGAAGGCCUUCGGGUUGUAAAGCCCUUUUGUUGGGAAAGAAAAGCAGCAGGUUAAUACCCCGCUGUUCUGACGGUACCCAAAGAAUAAGCACCGGCUAACUUCGUG